This 476-nucleotide ribosomal RNA is filed under the name uncultured bacterium. RNAcentral describes it as "partial 16S ribosomal RNA". It matches the Rfam family "Bacterial small subunit ribosomal RNA", at positions 28 to 523 of the family's 1533-position model. The record is from RNAcentral.
GAUGAACGCUGGCGGCGUGCUUAACACAUGCAAGUCGAGCGAGUGAGUUCUUCGGAACGAUCUAGCGGCGGACGGGUGAGUAACACGUGGGCAACCUGCCUCAUAGAGGGGAAUAGCCUCCCGAAAGGGAGAUUAAUACCGCAUAAAAUUAUCGAGUGGCAUCACAUGAUAAUCAAAGGAGUAAUCCGCUAUGAGAUGGGCCCGCGGCGCAUUAGCUAGUUGGUGAGGUAACGGCUCACCAAGGCGACGAUGCGUAGCCGACCUGAGAGGGUGAUCGGCCACAGUGGGACUGAGACACGGCCCAGACGCCUACGGGAGGCAGCAGUGGGGAAUAUUGCACAAUGGGGGAAACCCUGAUGCAGCAACGCCGCGUGAGUGAUGAAGGUCUUCGGAUUGUAAAGCUCUGUCUUUGGGGACGAUAAUGACGGUACCCAAGGAGGAAGCCACGGCUAACUAUGUGCCAGCCGCCGCCGUAA